GUGUGUGUGUGUGUGUGUGUGUGUGUGUGUGCAGACGCCAGGGAGGAGUGAGGGGAGUGGUAGGUCUGGCAACCUGCUGGCUCCACCCCCAAGCCAUAUAUGGACUUCCUCCCUCUAACGAGGCAAGCCUGGGGAUCGUUAGGCUGGGGUGCUUGGGGUUAAGAGGGCUAGCAAACAGACAUGUGGGGAAGUUGGAGUUGGAAGAGGAGCUAGAGAAGCUAGGGCUAGCAGAGGACAGGCAGGAUCUGUGUGAUCGCCUGGAAGCACGGAACGCCCUGAGAGAGAGAGAGAGAGAGAGAGAGAGAGAGAGAGAGAGAGAGAGAGAGAGAGAGAGAGAGAGAGAGAGAGAGAGAGAGAGAGAGAGAGAGAGAGAGAGAGAGAGAGAGAGAGAGAGAGAGAGAGAGAGAGAGAGAGAGAGAGAGAGAGAGAGAGAGAGAGAGAUGGAAGGUGUUGGACGACUGGAGCAUAUAGGAGGUCUAUCAUGGAUAUUUAACUGCAGUUCUGUGAGUAUCCCACCUUAACCAUGAAGAUGAACUGCAAACUGUAAGUCAUUAGUUUCUCAUUACUCUUGGGCACAUUGUAUUUUGGCUUCCUGGUGAGUUAACCCGUUACCUGAAGGUUGAUCUGUGUAGUAAAGAUGUUUUAUUGGUUCAUGGGUCAUUUAGGUGUUUGGUUUAUGUUGGUUUUAAUGAUUUGUUAAAAUGGUUACAGGCUCCAAGUUAUUGUUGUAAGAUUGAGUAAUGGGUUGGGUUCUGAUAUCUUCAGUCUUCUUUCCAGUUGCUCUCCUGAGCUCUGCAUCUUCACCACAUGAGUUGCUUUACUGAGGAGGGUGUGGUCUGAGUGAGCAGAGGUGCAUACUGGGAUACAGAGCUGUCUGAAGUCUACAGGUCUGUAGACGCGCCCGCUCAGGGGAAACCGAGUGUUUGAGAAACCGUCGUGACGUCAGUUACAUUGACUGGAAUGUUCUUUAAGAUGGAGACUGGGAUUCAGAAGGAGAAACACCAGGGAGAGAUGAGGGGGCUCCUCAUCUCAACGACUAAAACACAACUUCAGUCUGACAAAGAGAACCAUGGAACACAUUCAACAGUCCCCUCCAGGCAUCCUGACUCCUCCAGGAAUGGUUUUUCCAAGAAGAUCUUAUUUGGGGCCACUCCAAGAUGGAUCCUGCUCCUCAAGAGCCACCCCCCUCCACUGGGUGGUCUUCUGAACAGAUGAUCUCCUUCCUGUCCUCAGGCUGACUAAAGCUGCACCGUUUGCAUCUGUGAAGGCCCCUCAUUCAGGAAACCACUGGACUACAAAGACAUGACUUCAGAGAUGUUAAAUCAACCUGGGAGACAUUUUUGGAGACGCCAAGCAUAAUCCAUCACCAAUGUGGGACGCCACUGAAGAAUGUUGUACAUAAUUUACGUCUUUGGAGACAUUGGUUGUUCUGUUCUGGGUGCCCUGGCAGGAGAGCUGGGGUUGGAUGAUGGAAUGUAAUUUGGCAUGAGGUUUUUACCCUGCAUGAUUGUUUGGCCUUUUAUGGCUCGGUGGUGUGUGUGUUUGGGUUUGACAUGAGAUGGAUGAUUUUUGAGCGUCUCCAGGGUUCUACUGUGUGUGUCUCCCACUCACACCUGGCAUGGGGUUCUACGUGCCUGUCCUGGGUUCUAUGUGUGUGUGUGUCCGGCUUGCUUCGACAGUGAUCAUGUUCAUACGGGGUUCUGUGUGAUUGGCUUGGGAUAUUGGAAUGGUCGAUUAAAUCAUACCUGAUGAAUGGUCACAUGUUUACUUAAGGGCCUCCAGUAGACAUGAAGAGCCCUGAGCGACACUCCGGAGUGAUAUCCAACACGCUGGGCAGGAAGGAGAGUAUUCAACUCAAGUGUAAAAGGAUGCAAGCGGCGUGUUCAGAUCAGUGACUUCAAACUAGGACUUCACCAAUCAGGAUCAACGGAGGAUGGACAACUAAAGGCAUUCCACAAGGAGAGUCUGAAGUUGGAAAGGGACCUAUAUGGAUAUUCAAGAUGACCUUCAGACCUGUAAUGAGACGGCUCUUCCUACCUGGGUGGAUUGAUGGAGAACCCUGUGGAUCUUGUCUUGCUCUCAGUUGCACGUCUUCUCAGGCUGAACUGUGUUUGUUUCGGACAGGACCAGCUGAACGAGUUGUGCUCUUCAGCUGAGGAGGUAAGGAAACCUUCACUGGGGCUUCAAGGUGUAAAGAGGAGAAUGUUUCAAAGUGUUCCAUGGUACUCUGAUGAGGACUGUUGUUGUGCUCCACUGGCUGAGAAGAAGAACCCUCACAUCUUCCUCUUGGCCUUUCUCCUCUGAGAAUCCUGGCGCCAUCUUGAAGGAUAUUCAAGCUCAUGUAACUGAUGUCACGACAGAUUCUCAAACACUUGGUUUCUCCUGAGGGGCGUGUCUAUAGAACUGAAGACUUCAGACAGCACUGUAUCCCAGCAUGCAUCUCUGCUCACUCAGACCACACCCCCAUGAGUAUGAUGCAACACUCUAGUGAUGGAGAUGUAGAGUUUUAUAAGUAACGAGGGAGUAGACAAAGGUGAUCAGAACACAAUGGCAUGUCAAGUCUGUAAAUCUUUAAACCAUGAAGACGGUUGGAUAGUUUAGGAAUUGGGCUUCUUUAUAUUAUGGGCAGUCCUUUCACUCAGAUGCCCACUUCUCACUGCACCUGUACAUGUGUUGGCUGGCUGGCAUGAUUUGCUGUUGGUGUUGAGGCGGUCAGGGUGACGUUGCAGGGCUAUGGUCGGCUCUCUGUGAGCUCAACGUUUAGAUUUGCUCUGUACGGUUUGUAGUGUACCCUGAAUAAUCUAGAUAAUUGUAAAAUGUAGACACGGUUUUGUAUUGAAUGAUUCCAGGAUUUUAGGUUUAAAGUUAUUGCGGGACGUACAUGGUAGUUUGGUUAAUGGUUUUGAGUGAUAUAACUUGUACUCACUGGGUGCAUUAUAAUGUAAAGGUACACUGAAUAGUAGUAAUUACCAACAGCAACAAACAGAUCUCCUCAAGGUAAGUCUGUUGGCUGUGUUUUAUUGAAGACCAUCGCUGGACUUCAGGAUCUUCCUCCGUUCAGCUCAAGGUGAGGCGCUGGUUCUGUUUUUUCUUUGGUUGGUUCUGGCUGGAAUGUUCGGAUUCCAGUCGGACGGUUUGUGCUUCCCGCCGUGGAAGGUUCUGAGUGUGGUCACUUGAUUUAGUCCUAAUGGUUAGCAUAGAAUGUUGUAGUCUUGAUAACGAUAAGAAACCACCUGGCAGUUAGUUGGUCAGGAGACCCCUGAGGGAAUCUGGCGGAACGUUCUGGAUUGUAUUUGCGUAACCUCGAGCCGUUGCCAACGGAAACUAUUUCAGUCGGUUUCCAUUUGGAAUUGUUGCCCCUUAUCUUAAACAACUUAGUUUGAUAUUAAAUACAUACUGACGCGUACGUCGUACAAUAUGUUGAUAAUUUCCGAUGGUUGCGCCGUAAUUUUAACAACGUUGACGUGACGAGACUCUCGCUGCGUACAAAACGGCGUUCUACUUGCGGGCCCAAUUUUGACAUCAGUGAAGGCUGAAAAUCAUUUCAAGAUGGAAGACAAUUUGACAUUUCUUCAACGGAACCCAGCACCUGAAUAUGGCUGAGUAUAUUUGAUUUAAUAUCGAUACUGCUUGGUGUUCUUUGUUACUUCAGCUUUUGUACGUUCUAAAUAUUUGCUGUCAUUAAUUGCCACAGAAGUUAAACCCUACCCAAUGGAAUGACGUUAAACAAUGACUUUGGUGCAGAGUUACCAACUGGAUAAUAUCAAAGCUAAUAUAAUGGCCGUCCUUCCCACAUGUUACAGUAGAAGAUACUCUAGAACUGUACAAGGUUAAAAAGUUAACAUGUAGUUUGUCCCAAGGUGUCUGCCUCCUCACCCAGAGCCAGACCUCCACCUCCUCACCCAGAGCCAGACCUCCACCUCCUCACCCAGAGCCAGACCUCCACCUCCUCACCCAGAGCCAGACCUCCACCUCCUGUCAGAAGUCCUCCAGAACAGCUGAAAGGCGAGGCUGAGAGGCUGGGGACCGGAGGCUUGUGGUGCCAGGAUGGACCGGAGACUGAGGCUGGAGACCAGGGGCCUGCAGCACCGGACCAGAGGACCAGGAAUCCAUGGCUGAAGGAGCUGAUGGAGGAGCCGUGCUGAAGGAGCUGAUGGAGGAGACGUGCUGAAGGCCCUGCCUGGUGGAGGAGCUGGUGGAGGCCCUGCCUGGUGAAGGAUGUCUGUCGUGAGGUAGAUGGAGCCUGACUCUGAAGUGAUCAUCACACUCACUGCCACUUCUCGUAGAAUACUCCUACCACAAACUACCGGCGUUUGUACCAUAUAUACCAGACGACUACAUCUGUUUUACCACAUGUUGAAGCAAGGCUUCCGCUGU
Gadus macrocephalus (Pacific cod) is the source of this 4377-nucleotide long non-coding RNA. RefSeq lists it as uncharacterized. The transcript has 4 exons. NCBI's taxonomy places the organism in Eukaryota, Metazoa, Chordata, Actinopteri, Gadiformes, Gadidae. The record is from RefSeq and is a predicted model, not a curated record.